UACGGAGGGUGCAAGCGUUGUUCGGAAUUAUUGGGCGUAAAGAGCACGUAGGUGGUCUGGUCAGUCUCACUGUGAAAGCCCGGGGCUCAACCCCGGGAGGCCAGGGGAUACUGCCAGUCUGGAGAGGGAGAGGCGAGUGGAAUUCCGGGUGUAGCGGUGGAAUGCGUAGAUAUCCGGAGGAACACCAGAGGCGAAGGCGACUCGCUGGCCCUGUUCUGACACUGAGGUGCGAAAGCGUGGGGAGCAAACAGG
This 252-nucleotide unclassified non-coding RNA is filed under the name uncultured Gemmatimonadota bacterium. RNAcentral describes it as "uncultured Gemmatimonadetes bacterium contains 16S-23S intergenic spacer region". It matches the Rfam family "Bacterial small subunit ribosomal RNA", at positions 524 to 776 of the family's 1533-position model. Lineage: Bacteria; Pseudomonadati; Gemmatimonadota. The record is from RNAcentral.